This 64-nucleotide transfer RNA is filed under the name Cryobacterium melibiosiphilum. RNAcentral's name for it is "Cryobacterium sp. Hh39 tRNA-Met". It matches the Rfam family "tRNA". From Rfam's summary of the family: Transfer RNA (tRNA) molecules are approximately 80 nucleotides in length. Their secondary structure includes four short double-helical elements and three loops (D, anti-codon, and T loops). Further hydrogen bonds mediate the characteristic L-shaped molecular structure. tRNAs have two regions of fundamental functional importance: the anti-codon, which is responsible for specific mRNA codon recognition, and the 3' end, to which the tRNAs corresponding amino acid is attached (by aminoacyl-tRNA synthetases). tRNAs cope with the degeneracy of the genetic code in two manners: having more than one tRNA (with a specific anti-codon) for a particular amino acid; and 'wobble' base-pairing, i.e. permitting non-standard base-pairing at the 3rd anti-codon position. The record is from RNAcentral. Lineage: Bacteria; Bacillati; Actinomycetota; Actinomycetes; Micrococcales; Microbacteriaceae. RNAcentral also lists the same sequence under 1 other name.
GCCGGAUGAGUGGUGAAGCAGCGGACUCAUAAUCCGUUGGUCACGGGUUCAGGUCCUGUCCGCA